AUGAAGCUGACACAUCCCUGACCAGACCACGUGGAACCCAUGGAAAAUUAGACCUGAAGUUAACAGCACCCACGCCAGUCUCCUGGCUGCUUGGUUAGAGAUUUUCAUCCAUUUUUGAGUUGACAAGAGCAGGGAGACUGGUGUCAGAACCCACUGCUUCUGCUUCACUGUACAUCAGGGUGUGUCUGUGGGUCCCCUGGAUGGUUAAGUUCAUGGAAGUAGGUGUAUUUUAUUCGACUAUGUAUAUCAAACAGGUUUCCUGCUGAGCUAGAGCCAAAGACAAACAGAAAAAUCAUUCUAUUCACAUUUACUGAGUUCCUCCCAGAGGCCAAGGGCCUGACAGGCACAAGGCUCUCUGUGUUUGUAGAACUGGCAUUGAAGGAGGUCAUGGGAAACUGAGAGAGAGAAAGAAGUGACCAGACCAUCUGCCAGGAGCUUCUGGUGAUAAGCUGGCUGGCACGAGGCUGAAUCUUUUUUUUUUUUUUUUAACUUUUUGGCCAUACCGCGGGGCACGUGGGAUCUUAGUUCCUGGACAGGGACCGAACCUGCGCCCCCUACAGUGGAAGGGCAGAGUCUUAACUGCUGGACCGCCAGGGAAGUCCCAAGGCUGGAUCUUGAUUACAUCACUGGUCUCAGAGCUGCAGAACGUUCCAUCAUGUGUGUGGAUAUAUUUAGUAGUAGUUUAUUCAACCAGUUUCCUAUUCAUGGCCACUAGGGUUGUAACUAGUCCUUUGCUGUUACAAGAGUGCAGCAGUGAACACACCUGUGCACGUUUUUCAUAUUUUGCCAGCAUGUCUUCGGGAGAGACUCCUAGGGUACUCCCCUGCUGCGGCCCCAUCCCCACGACUGUUCUGGUGCCCUCAGCUUGGGCAUGGGAUGCUGGAAUGCUAACUCCAGCCUCCACACCUCCUUUCCAUUCGAUUGAUUGGCCAGGCCGGUAGAAACAGCAACAGGAAGGCGGUCUCCCUUCAUUUUUGUCCACCAGUCUCAUACCACAGCAUCUUACUGGGGGGAACGUGAUUCAUAACCAGAACUCUAGCUGGAAAGGAAUCUGAGAAGGGCAGUUUUCCGCUUUCUUGUCUCUACCGCACAGGACAGCUCGAAGAAGUGGGUUGGGUGCCAGUCACCACAUCCAGCUCCCCACUUAACUCCUUUGUUUCACAGAAGAGGAAACUGAGGUUUGGGAGGGGUGUGUUAUUAGCUGAAGAUCACUAAACUGGUUCGUGGCUAACAGCCCGGCCAUUUCCUCCUCACGUCCCUGCCGAUGGGAGUCCUUGUGAGUUGGAGUUUCACUGAAUCAAAUAACUUAAAAAGGCAGAAGCCACUCCAUACGCUAUGAACUUGUACUUUUCUUUGUAAAACAAAACAACCGUUCCCCAAGCCUCCUUUUGGAGGUAUUAUAAUCAUUUAGCAACUGGUAUGGUUUGACUUGUGUCCCCCUAAAUUUAUAUGUGGAAGUCCUAACCCCCAGUUCCUUAGAAUGUGACCAACCAGUUUGGAAACCAGGUCUUUAAAGAGGUAAUUAAGUUAAAAUGAGGUCUUCAGGAUGGGCCCUAGUCCAACACAACUAGUGUCCUUAUAAAAAGAGAUCUGGCCACAGACAGGCAGAGGAAGAUGAUGUGAAGACACAGGGAGAAGGCGGUUGUCUGCAAGGCAAGGAGAGAGGCCUCAGAGGAAACCAACCCUGCCCGCACCUUGACCUUGGACUUCUAGCCUCCAUUAUAGUGAGAAAAUAAAUUUCUGUUGUUUAA
Molecule: long non-coding RNA, 1751 nt
Organism: Lagenorhynchus albirostris (white-beaked dolphin)
Lineage: Eukaryota; Metazoa; Chordata; Mammalia; Artiodactyla; Delphinidae
Exons: 2
Source: RefSeq, a predicted model, not a curated record